This 640-nucleotide ribosomal RNA is filed under the name uncultured Alphaproteobacteria bacterium. RNAcentral's name for it is "bacterial SSU rRNA". It matches the Rfam family "Bacterial small subunit ribosomal RNA", at positions 8 to 682 of the family's 1533-position model. The record is from RNAcentral. Lineage: Bacteria; Pseudomonadati; Pseudomonadota; Alphaproteobacteria.
AGAGUUUGAUCCUGGCUCAGAACGAACGCUGGCGGCAGGCCUAACACAUGCAAGUCGAACGUGAAGCUGGAGCUUGCUCCAGUGGAAAGUGGCAGACGGGUGAGUAACGCGUGGGAAUUUACCCAGUGGUUCGGAAUAACUUCGGGAAACCGGAGCUAAUACCGAAUACGCCCUCCGGGGGAAAGAUUUAUCGCCAUUGGAUGAGCCCGCGUCGGAUUAGCUUGUUGGUGGGGUAAAAGCCUACCAAGGCGACGAUCCGUAGCUGGUCUGAGAGGAUGAUCAGCCACACUGGGACUGAGACACGGCCCAGACUCCUACGGGAGGCAGCAGUGGGGAAUAUUGCACAAUGGGCGCAAGCCUGAUGCAGCCAUGCCGCGUGAGUGAAGAAGGCCUUAGGGUUGUAAAACUCUUUCACCGGUGAAGAUAAUGACGGUAGCCGGAGAAGAAGCCCCGGCCAACUCCGUGCCAGCAGCCGCGGUAAUACGGAGGGGGCUAGCGUUGUUCGGAAUUACUGGGCGUAAAGCGCGCGUAGGCGGGCUGGUCAGUUGGGGGUGAAAUCCCGGGGCUUAACCUCGGAACUGCCCUCAAUACUACCAGUCUAGAGAUCGAGAGAGGUAAGUGGAAUUCCUAGUGUAGAGGU